RNAcentral lists this long non-coding RNA (207 nucleotides) under Musa acuminata (dwarf banana). Its description in RNAcentral is "long non-coding RNA (MACU_LNC003454)". Lineage: Eukaryota; Viridiplantae; Streptophyta; Magnoliopsida; Zingiberales; Musaceae. The record is from RNAcentral.
AGGAUAAUGCCAUGUGGACGUUUAUAGACAAAACCAAAGGAGACGGGUGAUCCAUGGCUUGACUGCUUCUGCAUGAAUCCGAGGUCAUGGGAGAUGAGGUGAUUCCACUUCCUAGAUACAGACUUGAACCUAGAGAGGUACUUGCAAGGGAGCCAUGGGAGGAUACCAUAGUGGAGGAUGUCUUCGGAGAUCUUUGCGACCAUAAUA